UACGUAGGGAGCAAGCGUUGUCCGGAUUUACUGGGUGUAAAGGGUGCGUAGGCGGCUUAUCAAGUCAGGCGUGAAAUAUAUGGGCUUAACCCAUAGACUGCGUUUGAAACUGAUGAGCUUGAGUGAAGUAGAGGUAGGCGGAAUUCCCGGUGUAGCGGUGAAAUGCGUAGAGAUCGGGAGGAACACCAGUGGCGAAGGCGGCCUACUGGGCUUUAACUGACGCUGAGGCACGAAAGCAUGGGUAGCAAACAGGAUUAGAUACCCUGGUAGUCCAUGCCGUAAACGAUGAUUACUAGGUGUGGGGGGUCUGACCCCUUCCGUGCCGGAGUUAACACAAUAAGUAAUCCACCUGGGGAGUACGGCCGCAAGGUUGAA
This 375-nucleotide ribosomal RNA is filed under the name uncultured bacterium. RNAcentral's name for it is "bacterial SSU rRNA". It matches the Rfam family "Bacterial small subunit ribosomal RNA", at positions 524 to 898 of the family's 1533-position model. The record is from RNAcentral.